Podarcis muralis (Common wall lizard) is the source of this 7250-nucleotide non-coding RNA. The record is from RefSeq and is a predicted model, not a curated record. NCBI's taxonomy places the organism in Eukaryota, Metazoa, Chordata, Lepidosauria, Squamata, Lacertidae.
UCUAUCUACGGAGGUCAGUCCUGGCUAUAAAGCAAAGCGGGGGCUGUUGGCUGAACAGGCGCCUGAACAACAACGCGACGCUAGGCAGCCAUUCGCCUCAAGGGCCGCCAGGCGAGCGCAGCCUUCUGACGAGGAGCCGCGGCCGAGGCGGGACGAGAAGGAGGCGGAGGAAAAGGCGGGCCCCGCGCUGCCGUUGGGCCGGAGCAGCGGCGAAGGAGGCGGAGCGGGAAGUUUGAACUGCGGCGGCUCUGAGGAGGCCAUAGCCGAGGCGGGAAAGGCGAUGAGGCGGUGCCGAGCAGGCCGCGCUGCCGACGAGCAGCAGGUGAAGGAGGACCAGGCCCAGUGUCCGCCAGAUAAAGGAAAGCCCCUCCGUUUAGACCGACCAGAAUGCCACCCAAUAGGUGGAAGCAUUCAAGAGAAAAUUGACUUUGAAACGAGAAUGCGAGAAGGAAUUUGUAAGCUGCUUGCUGUGAGCACACAAAAGGACCAAAUAUUGCAUGCAGUUAAGAAUCUGAUGGUUUGCAAUGCUCGCAUCCUUGCCUACAGGACAGAAUUACAGAAACAGACAGGAGAAUCAACCAUGAAGAGAACCACAGUGCGAUGUUCAGAUUUUGCAGCUAAAGACCGUGAAGCUUGUGGAGGGAGACUUGCCAUAUCAGAUCUCCGAAUUCCAUUAAUGUGGAAAGGCUCUGAUCACUUCAGCAGCAGAGACAGAACCCAACGUUACUCAGUAUUUUGCUUACUCAAAGCAGGAACUCAGGUGUUUGAUACAGACUUGCUUAUUGUAGAUAAAGCAAUCACAGAUAUAUGCUUUGAAGGUGCAACCAUAUUUGAGGAAGCUGGCCCAGCCUUCCAGCUGAAGAUUGAAGUCUACAGUUGCUGCUGUACUGAAGAAUCUUCAACUAUAACAAACACUCCUAAGAAGCUAGUAAAGAAGUUGAAAACCUCAAUUGGGAAAGCUGCUGGGAAAAAACUCAGCCCUGUGUUGGAUGACAGCAACCCUGAAUCCUUGUUGCUUGCUGAUGCAGCUGUAGUGGGUGCAAAAUACAAUUUGCUGGCACAUGCAUCUUUGGGAUUGGAGAGUGUCAACAACAAUUUCAGGACCCACAACCUUACUGCCGUGGGAGAUGAGGAAUCUUCUUUUUGGCUUCCAUUGUAUGGCAGCCUGUGUUGUCGUCUAAUUGCCCAACCAUACUGCAUGACCAAGGAUAUGAUGACUGGAUUUCUUAGUCAACAGCAAAAGAUAGGGAAUGUGACUGGAUGGAGAAAACUAUACUGUGUACUGAGAGGUGGCAAACUCCUUUGUUAUUGUACACCAGAAGAAAUAGAAGCUAAAGUGGAGCCGACUUUGACAGUUUCUGUCAACAAGGAAACCAGAAUUCGUGCUGUGGAUAAAGAUACCCCGAUAAACUCCAAUAACUUUUCUGUUAUCAACCCUGAGGCUGGUGAAACUGUGACUCAGAUUUUUGCAGUUGAAAGCCGGGAAGACCUUUAUAACUGGAUGGAAGCUUUCUGGCAGCACUUCUAUGAUUUCAGCCAGUGGAAACACUGUUGUGAAGAAUUCAUGAAAAUUGAAAUUAUGUCACCACGGAAACCACCAUUGUUCUUGACGAAAGAGGCUACUUCAGUUUACCAAGAUAUGAGCAUCAUUGGCAAGCCACACCUUUGUUCUCAAUUGCUUCUCCCUAGUUAUGCAUGUUAUGGAGAAAAUGGCUAGGAGAGAGGUUUUUCUCCCUAUCUCAUAGACUAGAACCCAGGACCAUCUAAUACAGCUGAAGGUUGGAAGAUUCAGGACAGGAUGCAUAUUCUGACAUUGUUUUGGGCAUGGCUUGCUGUUGGAGUAGCAAAUACCUGGAAACCCAUGUUGUGGCCUAAUCGAGGUGAGAUUCCACUGCGUUUUUUUCUUGAGAAUAAGUUAUUGAUACUGUAAUGGCAGGGUUUUUUUUUGCUUUGUUUUUAACAAUAAUGUGCUUAGUAAUUAUUUUUGUUAAGCCCUGCAAUUGAGACAAUGAAGAUUUGAUUUGGGGUUGUUAUCCGACAGCGUGCUGUCAGGCUGGUCAAUAUUUUGUGUGUGUAGCGCACUGAUUGACUCAUGAUGUGAGAUAAUGUUCUCUUUUAUCUUAGCCUUACUGGUCCUUGGUAAAUCCAGGUUACUCAAGCGUCAGUUUGACUGCCUGUACAUACUUGUGUAAUAUUUACCAUGUUAUUUCAGAGCCUUUGAUGGAAGGCAUUGUGUAAGAACAAAGCCUCGUUUGUUUCUUAAAAGACUAGAUCCACACUCACAUGGUGCUGCGUAGCAGACAGGGAAUCCUGCCAUUUGCCUUUGGGAAUGCUCUGAGGAUCCCCUUGUACCCAGUAAAGGGUACGACCCGCAUUACAGCUUGCAUGUAGCUCUUUGUAAACUUAGCCAGCUAAGCUUUAAAACAAAUUAGAUCCCCCUUUCCAUUAUUAAAGGAGGAUCAUUCUAAUGCCUCUGAAAGCAUGAAAAUCUCUUCUUCAACCUGAAGUUAUCAAUGGAGGUCAGCUUCUUAUCUGUUGACUUCCAUCAAAGAAUACCAAGUACAGUAUCUCCCCACAACUGUCAACACCAGAAUAAGUUAUGCGAAGUAAUUCUAUGGAAUCUAUGGAUUAUGCAAAUAUGUGUGAAUUGUGUUGCAGAAUGUUUAUAGGUUGCAGAAUUUCACUUUUCUAGUCAUAAAAUUGAAGCUAUCUUUGGGCUAGAGGUUUUAUCUUUCGUUUUCAAUGCACACAGAUCUCUCCAGCCCCAUUCCUCCAUCUAUGAAGAUGACUAUAUGUAAACAAACUUCUCUCUCCCGAUAAACUGCGACCUUGCCUUUCUUUCAUCUGACUCUCGGCAUGGGGACCGAGCUGUCCCCAGACUGCUGCUGCUGAGAGGUUAAAAGGGCUGAAUACAGAAAUCCCUUGGGUGAUAAAAAAAACUGUUUACAAAUGUAUUAAACAUAAAAGGAAACAGAUAGUAACAUUUUUUAUUAAAUAUUACAGUGGAUCAAAAAGUACAAAAUAUCUUUGCUUGCUAUGUGAUUGGGAAACUAUUGGCACAUAAUACAGUAUCAAAAGCAUUAAUACAUACAAUUUGGAAAACAUACAAAAAUUGAGUGUUUAUAGUUGGCUCAGCUUUUUUUUCUUUCUUUCUUUCUGGUAGUGUUUAAACUUAUUUAAUUUGAAAGGUUACUCAGUAACCCUUUUAUUCUUUUAAAAAAUGGGAAAACUAUAUAAUAUUACUGGGCCAUUUUUUUUCUAUAUACAAAUAAUCACCUUACAGAGCAUAUAAGCUACAAUAACUUGAAUCACAAGAAUGUAUACACUAUUUACAACAAAAGAACGCUCAAAACAAAGUAUAAACAGCUAGUAGAUUAUGCUGCCUUUGUUAGACCAUAUUUAAAACUAUGGGAGGGGAGGAAUACAUGUAAAAUAUCAAAUACAUUUACAGCUAACACCGGUUAAGUGCUCAAUAAUGAUAGUUUCAAUACUGCAGACCUCAUUAUCAGUGAAAUAUUUUCCCACUAUAAGCAUUACGGAUUGUGAAAUGGGGCCAGGCUUGACUACGCUCAUUGCUGUACAAUCGGAUCACAUGGAAUAACGAGUGAGUAGAAGCCAACCUCUCCCUUUAAAGGCACACACCACACAACCUAUUUCUGUGGCCAUCUACUGGCUUCUGUGAGCCACACAACAGAUAGGACAGAGCUUGAACAUAUGGGGACUAGUCAAGAAAACAGUGAGACAGAAGUGACUUUGGCUCUGUUUAACUCUUGCACGGCUGCUGCCUCUCUGGUUGCUCCUGUGCCACCCCCAGUUAGGGCUGCUUACACAAUUAGGCAUCACCCGAGAGACAUUUCCCUGAGUGGCGGAGGAACAACUACACUAUCACACCAUUCCAGCUAACGUGUAAAAUGGGGCCAAAAUUACUCUCAGCUUUUCUUGAAGCAGAAGUUACCUGGAGUGGAAUAACCAUGGAAACAGUAACAAUCCCAUUACUCCAGGUACUAUAUUAAACAGGGCUCAAGUCACAGGUUUCAUUGGCUUGCGGCCUGCGUGCUUAAGGAUUCAUGGAGCAGUUCAAUAAGCCAGGAACACUUCUUAGCUUUAUGUUGGGCUUCAGAUGGAAUUGGGAAACUCUUCUGAUUACUAAAGUGAGAAUCCGGUUGCAAAAGGCCUCACCCAACACAAACCCCUCCCCAUGUCAAUGGCUUCUAAAAAGACAAUUCUAUCAUGGGGAGGGAAAGGUUUUCUUUGUCUUUAAUCUCAUCAACCUUCAGAAUCUUUAAUGAAUCCUGAACAGAGUGAGUUGGAAUUGCAACAUUUCUUGGGACCAACUCAUGGUAAAUAGAUUUAUCACUCUGUUGCCAAUUAAACUGUUUUCUUUACCAAUCUACCAAUAACAAAAAAACUUGUGCAAUUUCAUUCAAUAAGGCCCCUUGAACUCAAACAAAGCAAACAAAGCCCCAUUUAAGUCACAGAAAGUAGUCUUCUGCCAGUGGAAAAUGCAAUACUUAAUAGAAAUCAUGGAUUUUUAAAAAGCAUUCUUAGGCAACCCACCCCACCAAUGGUAUGAGCUAUGUCCUCAUUGCUCUUCAUUUACCCUCAUCUUGGCCAAUGCAUCAUGAGCUUUCUAAAAAUAAGCCAGUCUUCCUAUUGAAAAAAGCAAGAGGAACAACAACAACAAAAAAAGGGGGGGAUCAAUUAACCCUGCACUGUGAUCUUUUAGAACAGUCCGAACAACUUUCAAAACGAUGCAUGAAACUGAAAUUGGAGACUUACAAAAUAAGCACACGAGGUUAAGAUUUAACAGUAUGGUUAUCAAAUCAAACUUUCAAAAAUGAGUCAUCCUAGGGUUGUGGGAUUUGGAAUAAAUGGACAGUCAAGUACCCUCAUAUGCACGCAUAGCUCCUGUGCAGGAGGGCAGCCCCAUUCCUUUCAAGAGGGUGGGGAGCUAAGUAUGUGCCAAAGGAUUUGUGCACAGUGCGACCCUCUCUACUGGAGGGAAAGGGGCAGGAUAGGGGCGUACCACUGUAAGCAAUGUGGAGCUACCUCUGCAUGCAGUAAAUGACUUGCUAAGGGUGUGCUGUUCCAAAACGAGGGACAAUCCUUUUAAAACAAGGGACAUCCCUUACUGUAAGGGGGAUCAGGCAACCCUACAUGCAGAUUAUCCCAAACAAAUCAGAGAUGCAUUACAUCCUGGAUUACCAAACCAGGCACAUAAUUCUAACAGUCAUUGCAGGCUUAUACAACCCUGCCAACUUCCCUUCCCCCUCCCCACCUUGAUUAUUAUAUUAGUCAGGUUUAGUGCAAUUUUUUUUAUAUACUAAUAAUGCCCUCUAUGGCAUCUGAUCAACUUAGAAUGUGAUUGCUGUUUUUUUCGAAUGCUCCGAGCACAGCAGGAAAAAGAAAAGCAAAAGUCGGCGUUGGCACAUUUAUCUUCUAAAGUCUACUAGCCUGCUUAUGCAUCAUCAGUUCAUAUAAUUUUACCACAAGAACAUAAAAGCGUUAAAUUGAAGAUAACAUCGAUCUUUAACAGUAGAUGUCUAUUAUUUUGUUGUUUUUUUUCCACCAUUGUAUAUUAAAUAGGUUACAUUAUAUAUUGCAGUUGGCUUCAUAUCACAGGAAAUUUCAAUAUAGGAUGUUUGGCAUGCAUGCACGAUGUUGCUUAAGUAGUUUCCACUAGUUUCCAGUAGUUUUGAUUAUUACUGUAUUUGAAUUGCAAUCUGGGAUGGGUUCAGCUCACAACCGAUUUUCACAUUGUAAAAUGCCUCAAAAAGUUCAGCCUCUCUGGGUGGCUGUCCAUACUUCCAGACCCAGCACAGAAAGGUUCCUCCAAAUAAAUCCACAUCGUUGUAGGGUGAUUUCCCCCAUGGACAAAACCCAAUCCCACCAGCUUCACUUACGGACUUGUCACUCUUCAAAUUACACCUUGUGACUGGGGUGGGGGGCUGCAUUUUAGCUUCAUGGGGAGGACCUGCCCCACCACCAACUCAAGCUGAUCGCUGUUGAGCCAAGUGCUCAGUGGGCUGCCGUGGCCAUUAUGUGUGGCCAGCGAUGAUGCCAGAGAGGUAUGGGGCAGCCUCAACAGAUUUGGCUGCCUUUGAUGCUUCCUGAAUGGGAGGUGGAAACUCAGCAAAUCCAUGAGAGACACUGGAACCAAAAUGAGUGGACGCUGGCAUUGUUUCUUGGAUUUGAACAAAGCCAGCUUCACGGCAGCACCUGACAUUUCCUCCCUCUGGUGGGAAACAUCACUUGUGCUGGUACACGGUGUCAGAGAGGAAUAUGAGAUGGGGGCAGAGGGCACGGUCCUUGGGGCUUCCUACCUUAGCACCAGCUUUCAAGUGUUCUGAUUGCACACAUUGGGUGCUUGCUCUCUACACCAAGGUUCUGUCCCUGCGUGAACAGCAAUGGAAGCUUCAGCAAAGGCCUCCCAGAAAGCCCUCAGCUGCUCACUCAAAGCCGCUGACAAAGGGCUCUUCGAACGCCUUUCCCUCCCAAGAGGAACAGCAAUACAGGCUGAACGAAACCUUCCCUUUUGCACGCCAAGGCCAAAGCAAAUGAGAGUGAGCAGCCAGCUGCAGUCUAUAAGGGUAGGACUCUUACUCUUGCUGUUCCCAUGGGUGUGUAAGGGGUGUGUGCAUGCACUAAAAGGGCCCUUGACUGCUCCUCUAAGGCCUCCAAGCUUGCACAGUAGCAAGUCAGUGGGUGGAGCCAUGCCUGCCAGCUCUUUGAGCCUUUCCUCACAUCAAAAUAUAUCCCCUUUUAUACUUCAGCUGCUGCCCUUUGUGCUGCAGUCCUGACCCUGCAAUGAUCUGAGCACCCUAGCCCAUUCCAGCAAAAUAUCUCAAGGCAAUUUUUAGCUUUCAGCAGGAAGACUCUCGUGAGAGUCAACAGGGUACUCUGGCUCAGGCUUCAGAAAUGCCACUGGCAUGGAACUUUUGUUCAAUAGGACCAGAGAGUCAAAGUCAAGUAAAACCGGGCUUAAGUGGUUUGUAGAUUAAGCUGCCAUUUUUGUUUUGAGUCCAAGCCACAUGGUCAGAAUACUUUGCUGGAAGAAGGUGGGAUGUUCAGCACUUUGUAGGAGGACUCCACCAAGCAAGAGUUCAACCAGUUCAUAGCCCAAAGGUGACCCUCAAAAGACUGACUUCCAGAUUUGGAACGGCUCCUUGCUAUUAUCUUUCUCAGAACGUUUAUACGUUCUCACCCAUCUCACUUCAGCAGCACAGAAUCCAGACCACCUUUAACUAAAA